UUCUGACGGGUGCCGCGCGCGCCAUCAGCUCGGCCACUCCUGCGCCGCGCCACGACCGCACACCACCUCCGAAACGAUUCGAACGAGAGGUUUCUUCAACGAUUUUAACGGGCCACAGGUUAGCAAAUUCUUCAGAAACGGAUGAAGUAUAGAAAAGGAAGUCGUCAGAUGUGAAGAGUUGGUGGAAGUUCAGGGUUGAAAUGGCCAUUACCUCACAGUCACGUGGUCAUGUUGGUACAACGUGUGAUGUGACGUAGUGGAAGUCUCGACCUGAACGUAUCGUCGAACCCGCACCAUGAGCUCCACGUAACAAGACAAAGUGAAGAUUGUUUAUACGUUGUGUUGAUGUGUGUAUGUAUGUAUCGUUAAAAGUUUUUAUGAUUUUAUAUUUGUGUUUUUAUAUAAUUAUUUAUUUCAGAACUAUAUCUGUUUGUGAACUGUAUUGAUGUCUAUUACUAUAAUAUGUUACAUUUUUCGUAUUUGUUUGUUUUGCAAUAUUUAUAAAACUUGUUCUAUUUGUACUUUGUGUGUCAAUACAAAUAAUUAACCUAA
Manduca sexta (tobacco hornworm) is the source of this 552-nucleotide long non-coding RNA. RefSeq lists it as uncharacterized. The transcript is spliced from 3 exons. Lineage: Eukaryota; Metazoa; Arthropoda; Insecta; Lepidoptera; Sphingidae. The record is from RefSeq and is a predicted model, not a curated record.